Molecule: long non-coding RNA, 691 nt
Filed under: Homo sapiens (human)
Lineage: Eukaryota; Metazoa; Chordata; Mammalia; Primates; Hominidae
Description: HSALNT0160190
Source: RNAcentral
CAAGAGUAAUCACCCCACCACCUGGAACCAUUUAGAUUAAGUAAAUUUACUGAGGCUCCAGACGAAGGUCUUCAGGACUAGACCUUAGUUAUAGAUUAAAAAAAGUUAAUCACUUAUGUCUUUAGAUGAAUGCACACUUACACGUAGACAUAUAAGCUCUAGAAAACUUUCUAAUUUUGAGUUUGUCUGGUGAUAAUUUCCAGGCCUUCUCCCUGUAACUGGUUACAGAAAUAAAAACUCUGUUCCUUCCCAGUUCAUCUGCAUCUUGUUAUUGGGCCGCAAGAAACAGCAGCCUAACCCUCAGUUUGGCCUGGAAACAGAAUGUGGCAUGCCAGCCAGGAGAGACCAGGACGGUGCUGUGUCCAGCAGCCAGAGGCUUGUGACCAGACAGUGUUCAGGAGGAUCCCAGCAGCUGCCAGUGAGAUUUUCCCGGGAACCCUUUUGAAGGGUCCUGUGGGUAAAAAAUGCACAUCUCUUUCACUACUGGGGAAGAACGGAGAUCAAGAGCAGACAUGCUCAAAAGGACACAGCUCAGAAGGUGCCAUCUUUGAAGCAGAGAGGGAGCCCUCACCAGACACCAAAUCUGCUACUGCCUUUGUCUUGGACUCUCCAGCCUCCAGAACUGUAAGCAAGAAAUUUCUGUUAUCUACAAAUUAUCCAGUUGAUAAGGUUUGGCUCUGUGUGCCCACCC